RNA transcript from Fragaria vesca subsp. vesca, 6451 nucleotides. It is a transcript of the gene named U5 small nuclear ribonucleoprotein 200 kDa helicase-like, with no coding region annotated. The transcript is spliced from 2 exons. The record is from RefSeq and is a predicted model, not a curated record. Lineage: Eukaryota; Viridiplantae; Streptophyta; Magnoliopsida; Rosales; Rosaceae.
AUGGCGGAAGCUCACGCGCGAAACAACCAAUACCAGCUCCGUUCUAAUUCCGGUCUGGUCCUGACGUCCGACUCUCGAUCACGUGACACUCACGCGCCAAGCGGCGAGGCUGAGUCUCUCCGCGGCAGAAUCGACCCCAAUCACUUCGGUGAUAGGGCUCACACCGCAAGGCCGAAGCGUCACCGCCGCGACCCUACUCCGGAACCCGCUUUGAUUUACGGUUCGACCAAACGGUGUCGUUUUUCGGAAGAGAGCGUGCUGACUACGAUGGAGGAAGACGGCGCCGUUUACAGGCCGAAGACGAAGGAGACUCGGGCUGCGUACGAGGCCUUGCUUCACCUGAUCCGGCAGCGGUUGGGAGACCAGCCGGCGAGCGUUGUGCACGGCGCCGCCGACGAGGUUCUGGCCGUGGUUAAAGGUAAGAGCUUUGAUAAGAGAAAAGAGAUUGAGAAUUUGUUGAAUUCAGUUGGUGAUGAUUUCUUUGAUCAGUUUGUUCAGAUUGGGAAGCUCAUCACCGAUUACGGUGGUGAUGAUGACGUGGCUGGUUGUGAUGAUGUUGAUUUUGAUGUCGGAGUUUCGGUUGAUUUCGAAGAAGAGGAGGAGGAUGACAAUGGUGUAGGUAUGGUUGUGGAGGAGGAGGAUGAGGAGGAGGAGGAGCAAAAGGAGUUGUCGGUGGGCGGUGGUGCCCCGAUGAGUGUUGAUGGUGAUGAUGUGAUGGUGGGAAUGUGAAUGUUCAUGACAUUGAUGCUUACUGGGUGCAGAGGAAGAUAUACGAGGCUUAUGAGAGAAAGAUUGAGCCACAAGAAUGCCAGAAGCUAGCCGAAGAGGUGGUUGGUAUACUCGGUGAAGGUGAUGCUGGGGAUGUGGAGUCGAGGCUGUUGGAGAAGCUCCGGUUUGAGAAGUUUGGGCUUGUUAAGUUUUUGCUGCUGAAUAGGGUGAAGAUUGUGUGGUGUACUCGUUUGGCUAGAGCUGGAGGUGGAGAUGAGAGGAACAUAAUCGAGAAGGAGAUCUUGCGUUUGGGUCCUGAUUCGGCUGCAAUUGUGGAGGAGCUGUGUUUGACGAGGGCUAGUGUGAAAGAGAGGGGGAAGAGUAGGGAGAUGAGUAUUAAAGCAGAGGCUCACAAGUUAAAGAAGGCUGAGGUUGUUGACGGGGAUGAAAAAAGUGGUGAUUGGUGGAGGAACCAGGAUCAGCUGCUUGAUCUCGACAGCCUUGCACAAGAACAAAGUAGAAGACUGUUGGCGCCAAGCCAGUUUGAACUUCCAGAAGGGUCUUACAGACAGUCAAGGAAGGGAUAUGAAGAAAUCCGUGUGCCAGCAUUGAAGCCUAGACCUUUUGACUCUGAUGAGAAACUUGUGCAAGUGUCUGCCAUGCCAGAGUGGGCUCAACCAGCUUUCAGAGGAAUGACUCAGUUGAAUAGGGUACAAAGUCGAGUCUAUACGACUGCCCUUGAAGCAGCGGACAAUAUUCUCUUAUGUGCUCCUACCGGGGCAGGGAAAACUAAUGUUGCAGUGCUCACUAUACUUCAGCAGUUGGGGCUGCACAUGAAUUGGGAGGAUGGUUCAAUAGAUCACAGUAAGUACAAGGUUGUAUAUAUUGCGCCCAUGAAAGCUCUUGUUGCUGAAGUUGUUGGAAAUCUGUCUAAUCAUUUGCAGGACUAUGGUGUCACGGUAAGGGAGCUAAGUGGUGACAACACACUGACUCGCCAACAAAUUGAAAAGACUCAAAUUAUCGUUUCAACUCCUGAAAAGUGGGACAUCGUUACUAGAAAGUCUGGAGAUUAUAUUUGUACAGAACGGGUCAAGCUUCUCAUCAUUGACGAAAUUCAUCUUCUCCAUGAUAGUAGAGGCCCGGUUCUUGAAAGUAUAGUUGCACGAACUGUCAGGCAGAUUGAGACCAGGAAAGAGCAUGUCCGCCUGGUGGGAUUAUCUGCUACACUCCCUAACUAUGAAGAUGUGGCAUCGUUCUUGCGUGUUGAUAAGAAGGGUUUGUUUUAUUUUGACAAUAGUUUCAGACCUAUCCCUCUUUCACAACAGUAUAUUGGAAUUACUGCAAGGAAGUCAUGGCAGAAGUACCAGUUGAUGAAGCAACUCUGCAGUGAAAAGGUGAUGGCUGUUGCCGGAAAACAUCAAGUUCUCGUUUUUGUGCACUCAAGGAAAGAAACAGUGAAAACAGCUGGUGAUAUAAGAGAUGCUGCACUUGCUAAUGAUACCCUUAGUAGUUUUCUGAAAGAGGACAGUGCUAGCUGCGAAAUCAUUCGUAGUGAAUUGGUCAAAAUCAAGAGUAACGAUCUCAAAAGUCUUUUACCGUAUGGUUUUGCCAUUCAUCAUGCUGGUUUGGACAGGGUGGACCGUCAACUGGUCGAGGAUCUCUUUGCUAAAGGGCAUGUACAAGUUUUGGUUUCCACCGCAACGCUUGCUUGGGGUGUGAAUCUGCCAGCUCACACCGUGAUUAUCAAAGGGACCGAAAUCUAUGAUCCAGAAAAGGGACAAUGGACUGAACUAAGUCCCCUUGAUGUUAUGCAGAUGUUGGGUCGUGCAGGAAGACCUCAGUAUGAUUCGCAUGGAGAAGGAAUUAUCAUUACUGGCCACAAGGAACUGCAUCGCUAUCUCUCUUUAAUGAACCAACAACUUCCCAUUGAAAGUCAAUUUCUGUCCAAGUUGGCUGAUCAAUUGAAUGCAGAAAUCGUUCUUGGAACUGUUCAGAAUGCUAGAGAAGCUUCUCAUUGGUUGACAUACACUUAUAUGUAUGUUCGCAUGCUAAAUAAUCCUACCCUCUAUGGCUUGGAAGAUGAUGUUCUGACAAAAUAUAGUAAGUUGGAAGAGAGGCGAGCUGAUUUGAUCCAUUCCGCUGCAACCAUCUUGGAGAAGAACAAUAUGAUCAAGUAUGAUAGGAAAAGUGGAUACUUCCAGGUUACAGAAUUGGGUCGCAUUGCCAGUCAUUAUUAUUUAACACAUGGAACAGUAUCCACAUAUAAUCAGCAUCUAAAGCCAACAAUGGGGGACAGUGAUCUUUGUCGGUUGUUCUCCCUCAGUGAAGAAUUCAAGUUUGUAACUGUGCGGCAGGAUGAAAAGAUAGAACUAGCGAAACUUUUGGACCGCGUUCCAAUUGUGGUGAAGGAAAACCUAGAUGAUCCCAGUGCCAAGAUUAACGUUUUGCUGCAAUCCUAUAUUUCACAGCUGAAGCUUGAAGGUUUUUCAUUGGCAUCUGAUAUGAUUUAUAUUACUCAGAGUGCAGGGCGCCUUCUACGAGCUCUUUUUGAGAUUGCCUUGAAACGAGGAUGGGCUGAAGUGGCAGAGAAGGCUUUGAACUUGUGUAAAAUGGUCAGCAGGAGGAUGUGGACUGUCCAAACACCCUUUCGCCAAUUCAAUGGGUUGAUAACAAAUGAUAUUUUGAUGAAGUUGGAGAAGAAGGAUUUAGCCUGGGAAAGGUAUUAUGACCUCUCUUCACUGGAGCUAGGGGAAUUUAUUCAUUUCCCUACCUUUGGCAGAACACUUCAUAAAUUGGUCCACCAGUUCCCUAAAUUAAACCUUGCAGCCCAUGUGCAGCCUAUUACUCACACGGUAUUGAAAUUUGAGCUCAGUAUAACACCGGAUUUUCAAUGGGAGGACAAAGUUCAUGGAUAUGUGGAGCCAUUUUGGGUAAUAGUUGAGAAUAAUGAUCGAGAGCAUAUUCUUCAUCAUGAAUAUUUUCUGUUGAAAAAACAGUCUAUGGAUGAAGAUCAUACUUUGAUCUUUACGGUGCCAAUUUAUGAACCUCUUCCACCUCAGUAUUUUAUCCGUGUUGUGUCUGAUCGGUGGCUUAGGUCCGAGACUGUUUUACCUGUUUUAUUCAAGGACCUUGUCUUACCUGGUAAGUGUCAUCCACCGACUGAAUUAUUGGACUUGCAACCACUUCCUGUGACUGCAUUGAAGAAUCCGUUAUACGAAACCCUGUAUGAUCAAGAUCUUAUGCAUUUCAAUUCUGUCCAGACUCAGGUCUUCACUGCUUUGUAUAAUUCAGAUGACAACAUUUUAGUUGCUGCACCAACAGGAAACGGAAAGACCAUAUGCACAGAGUUUUCGAUAUUGAGGAAUCAUCAAAAGAGUACUGAACCUGAAGGUUGUGUCAUGCGUGUUGUGUACAUUGCACCUUUUGAUGCAAUUGCCGAGGUAACUUAUGUUGACUGGAAGAAGAAAUUCGGAGAUGGUCUCAAACUGCAGGUUGUAAAAUUAACUGGGCAAACAACCAUGGACUUCAAACUGAUUGAGCAAGGUCAUAUUGUCAUCAGCACUCCAGAGAAGUGGGAGUAUUUAUCCCGUCGCUGGAAACAGAGAAAGAAUAUUCAACUGGUCAGUCUUUUCAUUUUGGAUGAACUCCACUUGAUUAGUGGUGAGGUCGGACCGAUCAUUGAGACGAUAGUCAGUAGGAUGAGAUUAAUUGCAAGUGAACCUGAGAACAAAAUUCGAUUUGUGGCUCUUUCAAGUUCUGUUGCAGAUGCAGAGGACCUUAGAGAAUGGCUGGGAGAUGCCCGCCUUUUCAAUUUUUCUCCAGCUGUGCGUCAAGUGCCUUUGGAUAUAGACAUUCAGGGGGUUGAUUUAGUGAACUCUUUUGCGAGGCUGGAAGCUAUGGUGAAUGCAACAAAAACUGCAAUUGUUCAACAUGCCAAGAAAGGGAAACAAGCUCUUGUGUACGUUCCUACAGUGAAGCAUGUCCGAUUAACUGCUAAGAAUCUGGUGACGUACUCAAAUUCUGACACUGCCGAGAAUUUGUCAUUUUUAUUGCAGUUUUCAGAAGAUAUUGGAAAAGUUGGUGAUGAAAACUUGCGCAGCAAUUUGAGAUGUGGGGUGGGCUACUUGCAUGAGGGAUUACCCAGUGAGGAUCAACGAGCUGUGACCAAGCUUUUUAAAGAUGGAUCAAUCCAAGUGUGUGUUGUGAGCAGUUCAAUGUGUUGGGGAGUGCAGUUGUCAGCCCAUUUGGUGGUUGUGAUGGGAACCCAGUAUUAUGAUGGUACUGAUUUACCUGUUACUGAUCUGUUGCAUAUGAUGGGUCAUGCCAAUCAAUCGCAGCUAAAUGAUUCUGGGAAAUGUAUAAUCCUUUGUCAAACGCCUCGUAAAGAAUACUACAGGAAGUUCUUGUAUGAAGCAUUCCCUGUUGAAAGCCAUUUGCACCAUUACCUACAUGAUGUCAUAAAUGCUGAAGUUGUUGCUGGUAUUAUUGAAACAAAGCAAGACACUGUGGAUUACCUUACUUGGACCUUCUUGUAUAGGAGGCUGUCAAAAAAUCCCAACUAUUAUACACUCCGGGGAGUUACUCCCCGACAUCUUUCUGUCUACCUCUCAAUGCUUGCGGAAACUACGAUUGAUGAUUUGAAAAGAAGCGGGUGUCUUACCAUCGAAAAUGACGUGGAACUUUUUGCUUCGAACCUUGGCUUCAUAGCAUCGUAUUAUUACGCCAAGUGUACUACCAUAGAGCGUUUCAGUUCUUCCUUAACUUCCAAAACAACAGUGAAGGGUCUUCUACAGAUUCUAGCUCAAGCUUCAGAGUUUUCAGAACUUCCUAUACGACCAGGGGAGGAAGAUGUGGUCCGAAGGUUAGCUAACCAUCAGAGGUUUUCCUUUGAGAAUCCGAAAUACACAGACCCUCAUGUUAAAGCACUUGCUCUGCUUCAGGCCCAUUUCUCUAGACAACCUGUGGGUAUGGAGCUGGCUUUGGACCAACAAGUGGUGCUGACAAGUGCAAGUAGGUUAAUUCAUGCAAUGGUUGAUGUGUGUUCCUGCAAUGGGUGGCUAAGAGUUGCUCUCCUAGUGAUGGAAGUCAGCCAGAUGUUAAAGCAGGGAUUGUGGAGGGGUGACUCAGAGCUUCUACAAGUUCCUCACUUCACAAAGGAGUUGGCAAAGAGAUGCCAAGAAAAUCCUGGAAAGAGUGUGCAAACCGUAUCUGAUUUGAAGGAGAUGAAGGACGAUAUGAGGCGUGAACUCCUCCAGUUGCCAGAGACAGAGUUGAUGGCUGUUGAACAUUUUUGCAAACGAUUAUUUCCAGACAUAGUGAUAGAUUAUGAGGUGCUGCAGAGUGAGAAUGUAAGGGCUGGAGAAGAGUUCACUAUGGAAGUGACUCUUGAGUUUAGGCAUGAGGUGAGAACAGCGCAGCUGGGCUGUGAUGAGGCUAAGAGGUACCCCACGGCCAUGGACAGAGAAGACUGUUGUUGGGUUGUUGUGACCGAUACCGAUAAGCUUGACUCAAUUGUCGCUAUGAAGAGAGUUUCCCAUGUUAAGAAGUUGACGAAAGUCCCGCUUACAAUUGCCGCUCCUGCAGAAGCUGGAACGAAGGCAAAUUAUAAACUGUUUCUGAUGUGUGAUUCCUAUAUGGGAUGUGAUCAGGAAUCUGACUUGAUUCCUGUUGAAAUAAAGUAGUCUGAUCGAAGCAUCACUUGAAAACUUCUCUGAUGAGCCAGGGAGGAAGCAGACUCGCUUUG